This 72-nucleotide transfer RNA is filed under the name Neotoma lepida (desert woodrat). It matches the Rfam family "tRNA". Rfam says of the family: Transfer RNA (tRNA) molecules are approximately 80 nucleotides in length. Their secondary structure includes four short double-helical elements and three loops (D, anti-codon, and T loops). The record is from Rfam by way of RNAcentral. Lineage: Eukaryota; Metazoa; Chordata; Mammalia; Rodentia; Cricetidae.
UUGAGUGUAGUUCAGUGGUAGAUCACCUGCUUCCCAAGCACAAAGCCCUGGGUCAGAUCUCCAGCACAGAAA